UCGAGCGAUGAAACUUUAACAGAACCCUUCGGGGCGAAGAUAAAGUGGAUUAGCGGCGGACGGGUGAGUAACACGUGAGUAACCUGCCUCAGACAUUGGGAUAGCCUCGGGAAACCGGGAUUAAUACCAAAUAAAAUCAUAAUGACACAUGUCAUAACGAUCAAAACUCCGGUGGUCUAAGAUGGACUCGCGUCCCAUUAGCUAGUUGGUAGAGUAAAAGCCUACCAAGGCGACGAUGGGUAGCCGGCCUGAGAGGGUGAACGGCCACAUUGGAACUGAGAAACGGUCCAAACUCCUACGGGAGGCAGCAGUGGGGAAUAUUGCACAAUGGAGGGAACUCUGAUGCAGCGACGCCGCGUGAACGAAGAAGGCUUUCGAGUCGUAAAGUUCUUUUAUAUGGGAAGAUAAUGACGGUACCAUAAGAAAAAGCCCCGGCUAACUACGUGCCAGCAGCCGCGGUAAUACGUAGGGGGCUAGCGUUGUCCGGAAUCACUGGGCGUAAAGGGUUCGCAGGCGGAAAUGCAAGUCAGAUGUAAAAGGCAGUAGCUUAACUACUGUAAGCAUUUGAAACUGCAUAUCUUGAGAAGAGUAGAGGUAAGUGGAAUUUUUAGUGUAGCGGUGAAAUGCGUAGAUAUUAAAAAGAAUACCGGUGGCGAAGGCGACUUACUGGGCUCAUUCUGACGCUGAGGAACGAAAGCGUGGGUAG
Molecule: ribosomal RNA, 706 nt
Filed under: uncultured Eubacteriales bacterium
Lineage: Bacteria; Bacillati; Bacillota; Clostridia; Eubacteriales
Description: bacterial SSU rRNA
Rfam family: Bacterial small subunit ribosomal RNA
Source: RNAcentral